RNAcentral lists this ribosomal RNA (549 nucleotides) under uncultured bacterium. Its description in RNAcentral is "partial 16S ribosomal RNA". It matches the Rfam family "Bacterial small subunit ribosomal RNA", at positions 355 to 895 of the family's 1533-position model. The record is from RNAcentral.
UGGGGAAUUUUGGACAAUGGGCGAAAGCCUGAUCCAGCAAUGCCGCGUGUGUGAAGAAGGCCUUCGGGUUGUAAAGCACUUUUGUCCGGAAAGAAAUCCUUGGCUCUAAUACAGUCGGGGGAUGACGGUACCGGAAGAAUAAGCACCGGCUAACUACGUGCCAGCAGCCGCGGUAAUACGUAGGGUGCAAGCGUUAAUCGGAAUUACUGGGCGUAAAGCGUGCGCAGGCGGUUUGCUAAGACCGAUGUGAAAUCCCCGGGCUCAACCUGGGAACUGCAUUGGUGACUGGCAGGCUAGAGUAUGGCAGAGGGGGGUAGAAUUCCACGUGUAGCAGUGAAAUGCGUAGAGAUGUGGAGGAAUACCGAUGGCGAAGGCAGCCCCCUGGCAAGUACUGACGCUCAUGCACGAAAGCGUGGGGGAGCAAACAGGAUUAAUACCCUGGUAGUCCACGCCCUAAANGAUGUCAACUAGUUGUUGGGGGAUUCAUUUUCCUUAGUAACGUAGCUAACGCGUGAAGUUGACCGCCUGGGGGAGUACGGUCGCAAGAUU